This 301-nucleotide ribosomal RNA is filed under the name uncultured bacterium. Its description in RNAcentral is "partial 16S ribosomal RNA". It matches the Rfam family "Bacterial small subunit ribosomal RNA", at positions 509 to 807 of the family's 1533-position model. The record is from RNAcentral.
CAGUCGCCGCGGGAAAACGAAGGGGGCUAGCGUUGUUCGGAAUUACUGGGCGUAAAGCGCACGUAGGCGGAUUGUUAAGUUAGGGGUGAAAUCCCAGGGCUCAACCCUGGAACUGCCUUUAAUACUGGCAAUCUCGAGUCCGAGAGAGGUGAGUGGAAUUCCGAGUGUAGAGGUGAAAUUCGUAGAUAUUCGGAGGAACACCAGUGGCGAAGGCGGCUCACUGGCUCGGUACUGACGCUGAGGUGCGAAAGCGUGGGGAGCAAACAGGAUUAGAUACCCCGGUAGUCCCUGUCUCUUAUAC